CUCCGCCCCGCCCACACCCGCCUCCCUUCCCUUAGCACGGGCUCCCUCCUCCAGCUGCCGUCCCUACAAAUUCCCUGACUCUUGCCUGCACCGCGGGUCUCCCACCCUGCCUCCAAUUGGCCCUGCCAGGUCUCUAGUCACUGCGGGCCCAGUCCCCGCUGGGCCGGGGUCCGCCCCUCCUCCGCUUGCCUUUCGCGUGCGGCCGGAAGCCCAGGUGCUCGUAGACCGGGAAACGUGGGCGGUCGGAGGUGUCCUCGCCGCGGUGCACCAGCGCCUCGCGCAUGGCCGCCAGCCCGUCGAGCACGACCACCGGCGUCCAGGCCAGCUGCAGGCUGAACACGUCCCCGAAGCGGCGCCGCAGCUGCAGGCCAGGGUCAAGGGCGUUGGAGAAGUCCCGCUCCUGCCUGGCGCCCGCCCCAGUCUCCUGGCAGAAGCCUUGGGGAACCCGUGGGCAGCCAGCAGCAAGGGCUUGGAGGAACUUAAUCUGGCCUCGUGACUCUGGAGCUCCUUGUCCAGCCUGUGGCUUCACCACCACCCACGGUCUGCUGCUACGUGGGGUCCCCAGCAUCUCUGCUGCCAAACACCACGUUCCUCACCCAAGUAAAGCUGCGAAGCGGGUCCUGGAAGUCCACCUGCAGCAGGUUGCCCAGCCCAGGCAGGGGCAUGGGGCCUGGGGGGUAGCGGGGGGCCCAGCGUUGGCGCCGGUGCAUCAGGUCCACCAGGAGCAGGAAGAUGGUCACGGCCACAGCCACAGGCCCCAGUGUCUCCCAGGUCAGCAGCCCCAUGGCUGCCUCAGUGCACACUGCGCUCCUCUGGACACACUGGCGCUCUUCACCACACCAGGCACCAGGACCAGACCUGGCAGGGCUCUCUCACCAACCCUGAGGGUUUGAUGAGCCUGGGCCCCUUUAUAAGGGGAGCUGAGACUGGCCUUUGUCCUCUGCUGUGAGCCAAGCUGUCGGGAUGACUGUGCUGCCAGAGGGUGCAGGGAGGGGCUAGGGAAGCUCAGGUGCAUGAGCAGCCGCGGAUGUCCUGUCCUUUCUGCCCUCUCCAGGUGCUUAUGCCAGGUAGUGGUGGGGAGAGACGAUAUGUCCCACCCCCAGCCUGACUCCCAGCGUUAUGCAGGGUCCCAGGAAGAACCAGGGGUCUUUGGACUUGAUCCUGCCACCCACCUGUCACAUUAUGCUCACCCUCCCUAAUGGGGUCACAGCCUCAUCCCCGGAACACAUCCUCACCUCCCCAUAUCUCACCUGCCUCCUCCUGAGUGACCUUCACCUCCCAGGUCCCUGGCUGUGGGGAGGUCACAUGAUCAGGUGGACAAUGGGGAAUGGGGGAGAUGAGGUUCUCGGUGUCCCUCACUUCACUCUACUACACUCAAUACCCUCAGACGCAGAUUACACACAAACUACUCACACAUUCAGACACUACCAACAUGCUCACAAAGUGACACACAGCACAGGCACACACACACACAUUUACACACCCACAAAACCACAUACACACACACAUUAAUACAUGCACCACUUACACACACACACAGACCCAGACCCAGCACAGAGCACCUGUUCUCAUUGGUGGCCUGGACCCGACCCCCACCUCUCCCCACCUCAAGGCGGCAGCAGGGAUGCUGAGGACCCUCAGCUGGUUGGCGCCUGGCUCUGCUUCCUCAGCUUCACCUGGCCGUGGCCAUCCCAUGAUUGAAUCUGGGGGUGGGGAGGCAGCAGGGUUGUUUUCAGAGCUCCCUACUCACCCAAGGAGCCAGUUCAGAGCCCAGGAGACCCUCCCCAAGUUGCUUACAAACUGGUCCUUGUUCCUCCCAGCUCCUGAGGCCACCCAGGUGAUGAAUCUCCUCGGGCCUGUGUCCGCUUUCCUGAUUCAGAGAAAUGUGGGGUGGGUGCUGGCCUGUGUUGACGGAGUUGCCAGGAAGCUCAGGGUACCAGGGUGUCCUAGCAUAGGAUGUGACACUGUCCCCAGAGGAGUGGGCCUGCUUCCUUGUCAGUAUCAUUUGUCCUUGAACAUCAGCUGCUCAGACUCUUUCCGGAAGACACAGAGACUGAAAGCACGUGGGGCCGAUGGAAUUUCUUUACACCCUCGCAGGGCUGCUGAGGACCACACGGAAUGGAUUCUCGGGCCUCCCUCUCCCUGGGUCAGGUCUCCCUGCUCCAGCCAUCCCACUUCAUCCCUCAGCCUCACUUGCCAAGCUGCCUUCCUCCCCUGCUCCAAUGCCUUCCCACUCUGGCUCUGUGGUCCCUCAAGGAAAGAUGCGAACCCCAGCACCACUCCGCCCCAUUGUGUGCCACCUCGUGGCUGGAACGUGGCUCCCAGGCCCUCCCUCUUGCUCAGCCUCUCACCCCCUCCAAGCAGGGGUGUGACUACACGAUGCCAGGGCAGGGCCGCUGCCCACCAGCCUCAGCACCCUCCUUCGUCAACAAGAAAAGGGAUCGGAUUUGAGACUGAGUUUUUAGUUCAGUGAAGCUGAGGGGAACUCUGAAGCCAAAACCCACUCAGGUGGGAAGGGGCAGGAGCCCAGAGGGUGGGGAAGGGGCAUUUCCUGGGAGGGGUCAGGCCCCCUCCCCCAUCCCAGGGGUAUGUGAGGCCAGCUCUCAUCCUGGAACCACCUGGAGAAUUCUCUACCCCAGAUGAAGCAGAGCCUGCAGGAGGCACUCCCCCAACCCGUGUCCUCCCAGUUCUCUCCCUCCCUCCCCAAAAGUAAGGGGACCAGCUUCUUCCCAGGGAGCCUCCGGACAUCUCCCACUCAGAGAUGGCCACCCAGAGAUGGCUCCUCGGGGCCGGGGCCUCUUGCUAUUGGCUUUCAACAUUUACAGUUCCUGCUUGGCCCGUGAAAGCUGCUCCUCCCCUUCUGAAUGCCCGCAGCCCCACUCUCCUGCAUGGCCCAGGGCCAGAGGGUGUAGCGGGCUGGGGCGCAGUGGGCCUUCCUCAGUUUACCCAUAUUCCCUGAAACUUGCCUUGCUCAGGCCUUGGACUGUGUUCCAGCCCUGCCAGACGGACCACGUGCUGGGAGGGGCAAUCACAGCCUGAGAGGAGACGAUGGUGGGCCCCUGCUCCAAGGCGC
Molecule: long non-coding RNA, 3073 nt
Filed under: Equus caballus (horse)
Lineage: Eukaryota; Metazoa; Chordata; Mammalia; Perissodactyla; Equidae
Description: lncRNA (ENSECAG00000058708.1)
Source: RNAcentral